RNAcentral lists this long non-coding RNA (362 nucleotides) under Bos taurus (domestic cattle). RNAcentral's name for it is "long non-coding RNA NONBTAT008184". The record is from RNAcentral. Lineage: Eukaryota; Metazoa; Chordata; Mammalia; Artiodactyla; Bovidae.
AUCAUUUUUAAAAAUGUUAAAAACGACAAAAAAAAAAAAAAGCAAAACAAAAACACUAAAGCAAGAGGGGAACUUUUAUAAAGCAAUGUAAAUAUUUAACCUCAUGGCUAUUGUUACGUAAGACAUGAGAUUUUAAUAAAUAACUACAUUCUCACAACAUCUGUUGAAUUUAUUAGGAACACUUCGGUGACUGUAUAGACAGUUGAAAGCAUUCUUGAAAAUCCUGCUCUCUACUUUUAAAAGAUAAGAGUCUCUUUCAUCAGAUGUCAAGGGCAAGGGUAAUGCAGUUUCUGUAAAUUUACGAAAUUUUUUUUCUGUGUACAUGAAGACACUUAGUAUGUAAUCCCCCCUCCCCCCCCACA